UUAGAGGGGCUGUGUCGUCGUCCGAACUGAGGGAGAACGGAGGAGGGAGAGGGGAUUGGCGACGGCGGCGGUGGCCUGAUGCUCCUGCUGCCCGUCGAUCCAGAGAGGGUGAGAGUGGCGGUGGCGGGUAGCUACUGCUGCUGCUCUCCGGCUGAAACAGAGGGAGUGGGGCGACGAUGUCAGAGAGAAUGAGGGAGGCGGCGAUGGCGGUGGUCCGGCUGACCGCUGUUUUCGGCUGAAGCAGAGGGGGCGGUUCCGGCGGUUACGUCGCCGGAAAUCGAAGGAAAGAGAACCUAGGGUUGCUGAUUUGGGAAAUUUUUGUGAGGGAAGAGAUAAGGGGGACGAGCGAGAGAGCGAAAGUCGGGAGAAGGAAGGAAAGUCAGAGGGAGCGGCGGCGGCGGCACUCGCCGGCCGUCUGUCGACGGGAAAUUGAGAGAAAAGGGGGAGAGUUUCAUUAGCUACUUCAUCUGGUUCAGUUUUGAGAAUGAAAGAACGGGGUUUGAGUGAUUUUGAUGAGGGGAAGAAGGUGGUGGUGGCAGCUGGUGGCGAUUUCGCCGGGAAUGGAAGGCGGCGGCGUCGACAGGAGAGAAGAGGAAAAGAGAGAGAGACCGAAGGGGAGAGUGAGAGAGUGUCUGUGUGUGUACGUUGAGAAAAAGGAGAAGAAAGGAGAGAUUGAAGAAGGUGAGUUGGGCUCUAGCUUUGGGCCUUUAAUUUUAUUAAGUGGGCUGCAUUUUUUAUAACUUGGGCUUCAUGCAUAUAUUUCUAUUGGGCUGCAUGUUUAUUUGUUUGGUUAUAUGUUUUAAUUAUAAGUUAAAGUCUUACAAAUAUUUGUAAGCAAAAUAUUUUUAAGUUGAUUUUAUGCUCAAGAUGAGUUUUUAAGUAAAAGCCGAGCAAGGAUAUUAUUGAAAUCCUUAGCCAAGAAAAAUGAUUUUCAAGUUUUAUGUUGAAUUUUUGAAAAUCCGGGUGUUGCGAAUCUAGUUAGAAAUGAUGACAAGUCAUGAAGGUUAAGCUUGAUUUUAGGACUAUGAGUUUAAGUUGAGAACUUAUCUUGUAGGUCCUACAGAAGAGGAUAUUUAGGCUCUUGUUCAGCUGAGUUAUUUGUUUGGAUUUUCUCCAAAUCAGGUGAGGCUUUAUUUACGAAAUGUAUGUUUGAGCUAAUAAGCUCGGUUUUAUGUAAAGUUAAAGAUGAUGGUUCAUGCUUAAAAUGUUUUUGCUCUCUAUUGGUUACUGCUUCUACCAGAACAUUGUUGGCUCCGCCAACCAGAACAUUGUUAGCUCUGCUAACCAGAAUUGUGUACGUACACCAGAACCUGUUGUCUCGAGAGAUCGGUGACAACCAGUUGUAGAUAGCAUGCCCAAUAGAUGGCCAGGAAAAUAUGAGCUCAGAUUAUUUUAGUAUGCAUGGAAUGACUCGUCUUUAAAAACAUUCUGUGUUAUACUGUUUAAAGGCAUGAAUUAUCUUUUUCAGUAAAUGAUUUUUAAAAUGUUUUUAAAUGGCUCAACCCACUGAGUACACUAGUACUCAGCCCUGCAAUUGUUUUCAAAACCUUUUGCAGAUUGAGCAGCUAGUGGUGACGUGCGAGGCUGAGGAAGGGUUGUUGCUGUGGAUUCUGAAGAAAUACUGCGUUUACUUCUCCUAAAAUAAAUUCACUUAGUGAAUAUUAUCUGAUGCCUAAUUAUAUUAAUACUUUUAUUCAUAUUUCUAAUAUGAAUUUCAUUCUCCAUCACUUUUCUAGCGAUUGUUUUUCGCAUCUAUUAUAUGCUUAGUAUGAGACGUUGUUUUGGUCUCAGACCUUCGAACUUCCGAUCCUGAUAGGGAGAAUAAUUAUGUUAUAAUGUCGUACUUGUUUUCAUUUAAAUACGGCAUAAUGUCCAACCCUCAGGGCACAUUACCUAUUUUAUUCAAGUAAAGCUUAGUAGUCCUGUCACAUAGCCCAUUUCUUAUUCUCCCGGGAAAUCAGGGCUGUCACAAAUGGUAUCAGAGCAAAGGUUCUUGGCUCUGAGACCGCUAUUUCAUUGAUGUUGAGUCUAGAAUAACAUCUCUAGACUUCUAAGCUACACAACAACCCUCAGCUCGCCUUCACACCGCCCUCAAGAAAGAAAGGUACGCGAUUUUAACAAAUUUUACUUAAAGUGCGUACAAGUAUUUAAAGUGGUUUUAAAAGCAAUAGUUCUUGUUAAAAGAAAAUAUUUCAGUUUGUUGUAUUAUUUUACAACCAGAUUCCCAGAAAGAUGUUAUUUUGAGCUUUAGCUUGAAUAACCAGAAAGUUUGUCAUGUUUGUAUGACCAGAAAGAUUUGUCAUAUUCAUUUAUAUGACCAGAAAGUUGUCAUAUCUUUAUGACCAGUAUUUGAGCUUUGACUCGCCUCAGUUAUCAGUUCAUGCAUGUGUAAUUUUCUCGUAGUUAGAGAAAUACACUAGAUAAUAGCAUGAUAAUCUUAUGAGAUAGACUCCUAGCAUGAAGCGCUAGAAGAAUCAAGAAAAAGUUAGAGUGCUCUACAGAAAUACGUAUAACUUAGAAAGCUCGAAUAGAAAGAUAGAACGAAGCAAGAUAGAACAUAGAAAGACAUCAUACAAAGAGAUAGAACAUAGAAAGACAUCAUACAAAGAGAUAGAACAUAGAAGUUCAGAAUUUAGAAAGAUAGAUCGCAAAAGACAAAGAGAAUAGAAGAAGAAGACAUAGAAGGAUGAGCUGAAGACAAACAAAACGACGAGUGAAUUGUUCCACGCAAUCUACAAGUAUGAAAGACUCAAGACUUCACAGUAACGUGUACCAAUCACUAAAGAAAUGUGGAAGAGAACUACUGCAACUUCACCACAAGCUGACAAGAAUUUGAAGCUACGAGAAGCAGGAAUGCCCCACAAUAUAGUAGGGUUACCUGUUAUAUAUAUUCUAAACGUAAACCUUUAUUUCAUUUCGAGCCCGACGCUUUUGGAAUAUAUAUAUAUAAGUAAAUUCUUUGAAGAGCAUUAUUUUUCAUGUUCAAAAGCCCUAAUACUUUUUGGAAUAUAUAAUCCUUGGAAAGACCUUAUUUUGCUCCUUGAAGCCUUUUUUUGGAAGCAUAUGAUACAUAGGUUUCAUACCUUGAUAUGCCAAUCUUCAUUCAUAUUUUAAUAUGUGUUGUUAUUUUUUUUAGCGCAACACACCUAGUUAUUUUUGCUCAUAUACUUAUGAUAUCAAUAAGCUUUCACUAACCAAGUUGUUUCUACAGAAUGGCUGGAGAAGAAGAAAGGGUACCUAACGCUGAAGAACCUGUGCUACAAGCCGCACAACGCAGAGCGAGUGAAAGGUUCCGCAAGCACAAUCCACCCACCUUCAAUGGAAUGGGAGAUCCAAUGGAUGCAGAAAAAUGGAUACGAUCCUUAGAGCGAAUCUUCGACUUCAUGGGUCUUACUGACAAAGAGCGUUUGACAUGUGCUAUCUUUCAACUAACAGACGAGGCUGACUAUUGGUGGGAGUCGGUGCAGAGGACGUUANNNNNNNNNNNNNNNNNNNNNNNNNNNNNUUAUUAUUAUUAUUAUUAUUAUUAUUAUUAUUAUUAUUAUUAUUAUUAUUAUUAUUAUUAUUAUUAUUAUUAUUAUUAUUAUUAUUAUUAUUAUUAUUAUUAUUAUUAUUAUUAUUAUUUUAUUUUUUCAAUGUCAAAAUAGAAGACACAUUGUCCUACUGUUAUUAAAUAUUGUGUUGAAGAUUGUUGGGUCCCGGAGGGCAAUUGAACUGGCGUAUGGGGGGGGAAUAUACCAGUAGACUAUUUUUUAGAAAAUCUUCUUUAGAACUGAAAGAGUAUCAACUGAUACCGAAAUGUUUGGAUUGAAAGACAACAGUCAAGGACUGUUUCAUUUAAAAUAGGGGUGUAGACUGAUACUGGAAUGACUUCAGUAUUUUGAUUUCAGUCAAGCACAAAGCUUUGACUGAUAAUCCACGUAAGGUUUCAAUCUAUAAUUUGAAAUCAGAUAAGUGUUAUGAAUCUUACUGAUUAUCCAAGGAUUUGUCAGUUAGACUAAUAACACUAGCAGCAGAAAUUAAACUUAAGAAAUAACCUUUGUGAUUAACACUUUGUCAGAUCAAUUUCAGUUAAGUAAAGAGUUUGUGCACAACAAUGAAAGUAAAUACUGAAAGCGAUAAGCAACACGAGAUUUUUAAAACCUUAAAUUGAAACAAGGUUUCAGUACCAAUUCUCGGAUUGGACUUCUCAUCUUCUUCUCAGGUCAUAGUUGCAAUGACUACACUCGCCUUGCUUGCGGGGGCUAAGAUCUCUUGAGUUCAGACAACAGUCUAGAACUCUCUCUCUCAAACUCUAUUUUUCCUCUUUUGAAAAGGGGUUCGAAAUACCAACAGGAUUACAGAGAAUAUGCUCUCUGUAAUCAAAGACUUAGGCUAGGGAUUUUAUAAUGUAAUUGCCUAAGGAUGUAAGAGAAUUUUGGUAAUCAGUAAACUGAUUUGAACAUGGAAUAUUAUCUUCUUCAAUUCAAACUUUGGAUAGCAAUAAAAUGGCUGAGUCGCAAAUUUGACAGAGGUUCAGNNNNNNNNNNCUCGAGCUCUAUAUUGUAAUACCCCAAGUUUUCCUCAAUAUGAUUUUAGAAGAAUGAUUGGGUUUAGAAUUAAGUCGAUUCGCACCCCGGAGAAAAUUUGUUUUAAUUCAGAUAAAUGGUUUGUUAAAAUUUUAAGGCAAAUUUGUCAAUGGGCCUUAUUUGAUUAUGAUGUGGGAUCAUUNUUUUUUUAGUGGGCCGAGUUGUUAUUUGGAGGCCCAAACCCAUUGCUAUUAUAGAUAUUUUCAUUAAGGAUUUAUGGAAGGGGGUUAAUCCACGUUGCCAAUUUCCUUCUACAAACUCACUCGAGCUCUGCACCGAGGAUCAGCAGUAGAGCUCUUCUCUUCCUCAAUCAUCCAUCAUAUUCUUAUCUAAUCAUCCACAUACAACAACCCACAAAAAUCAACCAUCAUCAAGAAAUCGAAAGUCUAUUCCCAACCACAGUUCAUUAUAUUCUUUUUGCCACUCAAUCACAUCUCUUUGAUGAAGAACUCUAUUCUAUAGCAAAAUCCUUGAGAAAAGGUUUGAUCUUACACCAUCUAUUCAUGACUUAUAUACUGUUUUCACUACUUCACAAAGAAGCUAUCUUUUUCAUGCUUUUGUUGGCGUGUGUGUGUAUGUGUGCUGCUGUGUGCGUGAGUUCUUAGAGCUGUCGUCGUCGUUGUGGCGAGACGGGCAGGUCGGGAUCGAGAGAGAACAGGGGAGGAUCGGCGGCGGCAGCGGCCUGAUGCUUCUGCUUGCGACUGCCGUAAAUGGAGAGAGAGAAAGGGGAGACGGCUGGACGGUGGGGCUGUUCAGCGGUGGGACCGGCGGCGGCGGUGGAGGCGGCUUGUGACUCCUACUGUCCGUCGGUCAAGAGAGAAAGAGAUGGGUGGUGCUGCUAUCGUUCGGAGAGGAGUCAGCAGAGCUGCUGCUGCUGUUGACGGCGGUGGUCCGGUUGGCUGUGGCUGCCGUUCGAAGAAUCAGAGGAGGAGAGAGGCGGCGAUGGCGGCGGUCCGGCUGACUGCUGCUGUCGGUUGGAGUAGAGGGGUCAAGUCCGGCGGUAACCUCGCCGGAAAUCGAAGAGGAGAGAGAAGCUAGGGAUUUUUGGGGGUUCGGUGAAUUGAGGGAGGAGGGAGAAAGACAGAGAAAGAUGAGGGCGGCGGUGGUACGCCGGCGUCGCGCCGGCGAAUUUGUAGGCGGCGGCGGCGACGUGAGAUGAGAGGAAGGGAGAGAGAAAGUGGCGAGAAGGAGAGAGAGACCGAAUGGGAGAGUGAGAGUGAGGUCUUGUGUCUGUGUGUGUGCGUGAGAAAAAGGAGAAGAAAGGAGAGGUUGAUGAGUUGAGUUGGGCUGGGUAUUUUUUUUUAGUUGGGCUUAUAGUUGGGCCGUUUUUUUUUUAUUAAGUGAGCUGCAUUGUUUUUAAUUUGGGCCUUUAAUUAUUUUGGGCUGCAUGUUUAUUUGUUUGGUUACAUGUUUUUAUUAAAAAGUUAAAGUCUUACAAAUGUUUGUAAGCAAAAUAUUUUUAAUUUGAUUUUAUGCUCAAGAUGAGUUUUUAAGAAAAGUCGAGCAAGGGUAUUAUUGAAACUCUUAGCCAAGAAAAAUGAUUUUUAAGUUUUAUGUUGAAUUUUUGGAAACCCGGGUGUUGCGAAUCUAGUUAGAAAAUGAUGACAAGUCAUGAAGGUUAAGCUUGAUUUUAGGACUAUGAGUUUAAGUUGAGGACUUAUUUUGUAGGUCCUACAGAAGAGGAUAUUUAAGCUCUUGUUCAGCUGAGUAAUUUGUUUGGAUUUCUCCAAAUCAGGUGAGGCUUUAUUUACGAAAUGUAUGUUUGAGCUAAUAAGCUCGGUUUUAUGAAAUGUUAAAGUUGAUGGUUCAUGCUUAAAAUGUUUUUGCUCUCUAUUGGUUAUUGCUUCUACCAGAAUAUUGUUGGCUCUGCCAACCAGAACAUUGUUAGCUCUGCUAACCAGAAUUGUGUACGUACACCAGAACCUGUUGUUUCGAGAGAUCGAUGACAACCAGUUGUAGAUAGCAUGCCCAAUAGAUGACCAGGAAAAUAUGAGCUCAGAUUAUUUUAGUAUGCAUGGAAUGACUCACUUUAAAAACAUUCUGUGUUAUACUGUUUAAGGCAUGAAUUAUCUUUUUCAGUAAAUGAUAUUUAAAAUGUUUUUAAAUGGCUCAACCCACUGAGUACACUAGUACUCAGCCCUGCAAUUGUUUUCAAAACCUUUUGCAGAUUGAGCAGCUGGUGGUGACGUGCGAAGCUGAGGAAAGGUUGUUGCUGUAAUAUUGAAGAACACUCUGUUUUACUUCCGCUGAAAUAAAUUCACUUAGUGAAUAUUAUCUGAUGCCUAACUAUAUUAAUACUUUUAUUCAUAUUUAUAAUAUGAAUUUCAUUCUCCAUCACUUUUCUAGCGAUUGUUUUCCCGCAUCUAUUAUAUGCUUUGUAUGAGACGUUGUCUUGGUCUCAGACCUUCGAACUUCCGAUCCUGAUAGGGAGAAUAAUUAUGUUAUAAUGUCGUACUUGCUCUCAUUUAAAUACGGCAUAAUGCCAACCCUCAGGGCGCAUUACAUAUUUUAUUCAAGUAAAGCUUAGUAAUCCUGUCACAUAGCCCAUUUCUUUUUCUCCCGGGAAAUCGGGGC
Molecule: long non-coding RNA, 7142 nt
Filed under: Salvia miltiorrhiza (redroot sage)
Lineage: Eukaryota; Viridiplantae; Streptophyta; Magnoliopsida; Lamiales; Lamiaceae
Description: long non-coding RNA (SMIL_LNC005745)
Source: RNAcentral